RNAcentral lists this ribosomal RNA (444 nucleotides) under uncultured archaeon. RNAcentral's name for it is "bacterial SSU rRNA". It matches the Rfam family "Archaeal small subunit ribosomal RNA", at positions 455 to 871 of the family's 1478-position model. The record is from RNAcentral.
GUCACGGCCGCGGGUAUAUACCUAGCACCCCUGAGUUGGUUCGGUGUACGAUUAUUGGUGCUUAUAUAGCAUCUCGUAGCUUGUCCUGUCAAGUCCUCCGUUAUAAUCCACCUGCGUCUAACUAGAUGGGUCUGCGGGGGAUAUCUAUCAGGGUCUAGGAGGCGGGAGAGGCANACGGUAUCUCAGUGGGUAGGGGUNAAAUCCUNUUGAUCCACUGAUAGAUCCAUCCAGUGGCGAUAGNCGGUUUGCCAGAACGCGCUCGACGGUGAGGGAUGAAUAGUCUGGGGGAGCAAACCGGAUUAGAUACCCGGGUAGUCCCUAGCUGUAAACGAUGCAGACUCGGUGAUGGGUUGGUCUUUGCGCCAACCCAGUGCCGCAGGGAAGCCGUUAAGUCUGCCGCCUGGGGAGUACGGUCGCAAGACUGAAACUCAAAUGAAUUGACGG